GACGAACGCUGGCGGCGUGCCUAAUACAUGCAAGUAGAACGCACAGUUUAUACCGUAGCUUGCUACACCAUAGACUGUGAGUUGCGAACGGGUGAGUAACGCGUAGGUAACCUGCCUGGUAGCGGGGGAUAACUAUUUGAAACGAUAGCUAAUACCGCAUAAUAUUAAUUAUUGCAUGAUAAUUAAUUGAAAGGUGCAAUUGCACCACUACCAGAUGGACCUGCGUUGUAUUAGCUAGUAGGUGAGGUAACGGCUCACCUAGGCGACGAUACAUAGCCGACCUGAGAGGGUGAUCGGCCACACUGGGACUGAGACACGGCCCAGACUCCUACGGGAGGCAGCAGUAGGGAAUCCUCGGCAAUGGACGAUAGUCUGACCGAGCAACGCCGCGUGAGUGAAGAAGGUUUUCGGAUCGUAAAGCUCUGUUGUAAGAGAAGAACGGGUGUGAGAGUGGAAAGUUCACACUGUGACGGUAUCUUACCAGAAAGGGACGGCUAACUACGUG
RNAcentral lists this ribosomal RNA (505 nucleotides) under uncultured bacterium. RNAcentral's name for it is "partial 16S ribosomal RNA". It matches the Rfam family "Bacterial small subunit ribosomal RNA", at positions 28 to 507 of the family's 1533-position model. The record is from RNAcentral.